GACAGCGUGUCCGAGUGGUUAAGGAGGUGGACUUGAAAUCCACUGGGCUCCGCCCGCGCAGGUUCGAAUCCUGCCGCUGUCG
This 82-nucleotide transfer RNA is filed under the name Perkinsus chesapeaki. It matches the Rfam family "tRNA". From Rfam's summary of the family: Transfer RNA (tRNA) molecules are approximately 80 nucleotides in length. Their secondary structure includes four short double-helical elements and three loops (D, anti-codon, and T loops). Lineage: Eukaryota; Perkinsozoa; Perkinsida; Perkinsidae. The record is from Rfam by way of RNAcentral.